RNAcentral lists this long non-coding RNA (4057 nucleotides) under Naja naja (Indian cobra). RNAcentral describes it as "lncRNA (ENSNNAG00000002485.1)". Lineage: Eukaryota; Metazoa; Chordata; Lepidosauria; Squamata; Elapidae. The record is from RNAcentral.
AGCGCUAGAAUAAACACGUCUAUUAAUACCAGCAAAAGUUGUGUUCAGUAUCACACACUGCCAUAUUGUGGCUUUUUCAAUAUUGCAACCGUUUGCAAGCAGUCAAUCCUGACUCAUUAAAUAAACCACGAAUAAGCUUCGCGGUGUUUACUACUUGCACUGACUUCCAGGUAAACAGGUGCAAGUUUAAAGUCUAAGGCUAUAAUCUUACCUUCACUUACCUGAGCACAAGACUCACUGAACGCCAAGUCUCACUUUUCAACACCCCCAAGACUUGAGCUUUGUGCUUCAAGAGACCGAAGCGAGUCGCUUUCUCGCGAACUCAGCGCCACUUUCCCUCCCAAAGGGACGCCAAUACCGGCCCACCGACCAAGAUUGUUGUAAAAAGGAUGCACGACAUUAGCUUGACGGCUUUUGCCAACCGUCCCCUCAUCAUGGAUGAGACUGCACAAAAAUCUCUAGUCCGCAAGGCAACUGGGCGAGGACCGUAGCAAUAAUAUUAAAUCCCACGGCAAACCGGUUUUGUUUUUUUUACGCACCUCACCAAGCAGCAGCCCCGGCGAAGCGAGUCACUCUAGCAGCUGAGCCCAUGCACGCGGAGCCAAAAGCGCCGGGCGAGGGAGCGCGGUCCAAACCCGGGCGAGGCAAGCUUAGACGAAGCCCCCAAGCUUACCUCUUCGGCCUUGGCUGGAGGAAGGAAAAAGCAAAUCUCCACCAUUUUUUUUUAAUCACACCCGGUCUGGCUACCCUCGCUUCUCUCAAGGCAGAGCGAAGCUAAUGGCUAGGCUCUAUCCAAUGGCACCAGAAGCAGAGCCCAUGUGAUUGCUGGCGACGCCUUUUUUCCCCGCCUCGCAGUUCAGUUUUCCGUCCCUGGAAAUCUUCCUUGUGCUUCAGGCGAUUUUGUCUGGUACCCGCUCCUCUUCUGAGUUGUCUGAAUCUGAGUGCGUUCAGGGCCCAUUUCAGAUCUCCGUUUUGCACCGGCCAUCCAGCAAAGCUUUGGCAAGAGACUAUUGUCCUGGUUCUGACAGGUUUCUGCAUUGCACUUGCAAUCCUCCAAGCAGGCCAUUUUCUGCUUUCAGUAACCGCAGUCCUUGUUUCCGCAGUGGCCUCCACAGGCGCACCCGGUAAUCUUCCUUUGUGCCUCGGACGAUUUUGGCCAGCACCCACUCCUCUUCUGAGUCAUCUGAUUCUGAGAGCAACUCCUCAGGGCCCAUUUCAGAUCUCUGCUUUGCACUGGCCAUCCGGCGAAGCUUUGGCUGCUUGAGGGCUUCCAGCUCUUUGCAGAGUUCCUUAUUCUUCUCCAGCACCUCUUUCAGCUUUCCGUCCUGCAGCUGAGCGAUAAUUUAAAACAAUAUUUAACUGAACCUGUUAAGCUGCAACCCAUAUAUAUUCAACAGCACUCACAGUUCAUGCGUGUGGGUUUGUAAAGCUAGGCUACAUUACGUGCUUUCAGGUUAGUUUAGAUGUCAGCUUUCUUGGAUCCAGAAGAACUGAGUCUGAAAGAGGUCUGUUUGCCAGAUCCAUGGACUUGCCAAAGGAAUCCAGUAUGUUGUGUCAACCUAGCCUGUGUUGAAGGCUGAGUGGGUUGUAUGAAUACAGAAAACAAGACUGAAUAAAUGAUAAUGUUAAAUAUAAAUAAGCAUAGCAUGCGUACAUAGCAAUGUAAUAAACAUUAUGGUGCAGGUAGUCCUCAAUUGAGCCCAACAUUUAUGUUGCUAGGCAAGACAUUUGUUAAGUGAGUUUUGCCCCAUUUUACAAUCUUUCUUGUCACAUUUGUUAAGUGAAUCAUUGCAGUUGUCAAGUUAGUAAAUUAUUGAGUGAGUCUGACUUCCCGGUUAAGUUUGCUUGUCAGAAGGUUGCAGAAGGUGAUGAUAUGAACCCGGGAUGCUGCAACCAUCAUAAAUAUGAGUCAGUUGCUAAGUGUUCUGAAUUUUGACCAUGUGAACUAUGGGGAAUCUUUGUCAUAAGUGUGAAAAAUGGUCAUAAUAGAGAGAUUCAGGUUCUCAUCUACUGUUGGCUAUGGAAACUCACUCGUGAUUUUUGAUCAAUCAUUCUUUUCUCGGUCCAACCUACCUUGCAAGAUUAUUGUGGGAAUCCAAUGAAGGGAGUUCCCCGCAUAAACUGCCUUGAACAUCUGGAGGAAAGGAAGGACAAAUAUCUUAUAAAUAAUGGAUAAGCAAGUUUCCAUUAAAAGUACUAAAUGUAUUUUAAAUUUCGAUAAUAAAUAUUAACUAACAGUCAGGGUUUGAGAUAGAAAAGGUUCAAAGUUCCAAAUUAACUCAGCACAAAGCAUUAAUAGGUAAACAAAUUUAAAUUACAAAAGCUCAAAGAUUAAUUGGCAGCUCAAGCAUAAAAAAUGCCUUUAAUUUUAUUAACUCUUUGGCAAAACUGAAUAUACAGUAAGUACGCAUUUAAAAAAUUGAACUAUGAUGCACCAUUUCAUCCAAAUAAAGGUUAUGACAAUGAGAGUUUUAGUAGAAUAGACAUAAAUGCUUGAAAGAUAAACUUUUAUUAACUCUGCAUUAAUUCUUUACAGAAUAGUUAAGAACCCAGGAGGAUUCUGAGCUGUCUUGAAAACUACUGUAGUGUAAUGGGCCAUUAGAGUUUUCUCAUAUCACUGCCUGGGGGAGGGGAAAUGAAGUUAAAAGGGAGAGAUGUUUAUGUCAUGGGAAAUAUUUAACAGACUUAUUUUCCAAGCUGCACAUGACUUGGGAAAUAUCUAAGAUAUUUCUGCACUACUGAAGGGGGCAUAACAAAACUUAAUAUCUUAACUAGUAUAUGUCCAGUUAAGAGUCUAAAUACAUUUUGUGGGCUGUUCCUCUUUCAGGGAGGCCCAGCAUACAGAGCUACCAGAUCUGGGCUGCAAAAUGCACAAUAGAUAGCAGCAGAGAGUUGGGCUUUUCUCUAUCACCAUGUUGCCAUCUAAUGUUCAUUCCAAAUAUGGUUGCUUUGCUAAUGCAGUAAACUUUUCCAUAAUUCACUUUGAAUGUAACUACAAUGUGUAGAAUGUUAAGUACAGUGACCAUGCAAAAUCUGAUUUUACUUUGACCCUUCUGCUUUUAUUCUUGCAUCUCCAAACUCUUCUUGCUGAAUUUUUUUUAAAAUCACUAUUCAAGCAAUUAGGAUUAAAAAUAAUAUUUUAAAAUCAACUAGUCAAAUUGCUGUUUAAUGACUUUAGCAGACUUGACUUUUCUUCUUCGCAAAGAGCUCCCCCUGCUGACCAGUGUCCUUGUCUAAAGACCACAGCCACAAGCAUAGCCACACCGACCUGAAUGAAAACAAAUGAAGAAAAUGAUUACUCCAGUGCUUCAUGAUUUAAUAAAAUCAUGCUCGCUGAUCUGACUUUAAAACUUCAAGUGACAUUAAACAUUAUGGGUAUAUGGUAUAUGCCCCCUAGAUUAGACAUGACUGAACAGGGGAAACCUUUAUCUUUUUAAAGUAAUAAAAAAUGAAACUGCAGAUAUGUGAAAACCUUUGUGCAUUUACUGAAGCCUUGUUUAUCAAUUACAGAUACAUAAAACUGCAUAAAAGUGUUAGAUGUAUGUGUAUUAAAUGUUGCUGUUGAACGUUAUCUGAGUUUGGUGUUGGUUUCUACAUCUGUCUGAACUUAAGCUAAAAUUAAUAGAUAACCAAACCAGUUUAUGCAUAAGGUAGGAGUUGAAUGAACCAAUCAUUACAAAUGUUAGGUGCAGCUGUAGUUUAAUUUAGUUAUGCCAUUAAUAUUAUAAAACUAACCUUUACAUUAAAAAUUAGAAAAAUAAAUAAAUAUGAGAUAGAGAAAAGUCAUAUUCUUCUACUGUACAGGUGUCAAUCUUGAUUGCAUCAUGUGACGUCACAUGACAUAUUGCGAUGUUUUUUGCCUUUGCAGAGCCAGGGUGGGCGUGGUGUGCAUGUGAUGCAUCUGGCUCGCAGGCCACCUGUUUGAUACUCCUGUUCUUCUGCAUUUUCUUCUGAUGGAAAGCAGAAACCUACAAGAAAAUCAGAUUGUUCUUAGAAUUCUUUGCUAUUUCCACGCAGAUGAUGAGUAAAUUAGCAAAUAGAUUAAUGGUGAUCUCCC